Molecule: long non-coding RNA, 237 nt
Filed under: Penaeus japonicus
Lineage: Eukaryota; Metazoa; Arthropoda; Malacostraca; Decapoda; Penaeidae
Description: uncharacterized LOC122262277
Source: RNAcentral
CUCUUGUUGCAUACGCCAAGACCUUGCCAUUCACCAUGAAGAUGUUGAUGAUCGUCGUUGUGGCGGCAGCCGCUGUAGUCGUGAGCGGCCGCCGACCCCCACCCCCACGCAACGAAAUGUUCAAUCCUUUGCAUGAAGCAAUAAAGUCCUGCAAGAAGGUUCUGAUGCCACCCCAUGAAGAAAUGAAUGCCAUGAAAAAAACAAUGAGGGACUGCUUGGAAAUUCAUGAGCUGAGCG